RNAcentral lists this ribosomal RNA (229 nucleotides) under uncultured bacterium. RNAcentral describes it as "partial 16S ribosomal RNA". It matches the Rfam family "Bacterial small subunit ribosomal RNA", at positions 118 to 347 of the family's 1533-position model. The record is from RNAcentral.
UGAGCAACCUGCCCUUGGCUUCGGGAUAACUCCGGGAAACCGGGCUAAUACCGGAUGUGACAUGCUCCUGCAUGGGGGUGUGUGGAAAGAUUUAUUGGCCAGGGAUGGGCUCGCGGCCUAUCAGCUUGUUGGUGGGGUGAUGGCCUACCAAGGCGACGACGGGUAGCCGGCCUGAGAGGGCGACCGGCCACACUGGGACUGAGACACGGCCCAGACUCCUACGGGAGCA